CAUUACUGAAAAAAGAGGGUACUGCCACAGGUACCCUCUUCAUCAGAGAGAGAUACCUGAAAGUCUUCUGCUGAAGCAGCCUGGGUAGACAUCCUUGGUCUUCAGCAAGCUCUGCCCAAGCUGGAAGGUAAGGUUAGAUCUAAGGGUGCAUAAAUGGGGUGUGGUGCUGUUCUGAGGACCCUGCCACUGACACAAGGGUGAGGCAGAGUGCCCACGGACACAGGCAGUGGUCACACAUAGAGGGGUCUGAGAUCCUGCAUCCCAAGUGCUGGCUGCCUGAGAUCUCCUGAUGCUUAUCCAUGUUUCUCCUGUGAAGUGCCUUCUCUGUACACCAGCGAGGGUUCAUGGGGAAGUUUUGCUGUCUGGGGCCCCACAGGUCAGGAUUCAGGCCUAGGAGAAGCAGAUAUGGAAGCUCAAAAUAGAGAAAACUAGUCAGAGUUGCCUGGUAACAGCACUGGCCUUCUCCUGGGUAGAAGGAUACAAGAAACAGCUAAUGGCCACCUGCUGAGAGUCUGACAGCGAUGGCAGCCCAGGUCCAGGCCGGUGUACCAGAUGCCCCCCGCGUCUCACGUCCUUGCCCCAGUGUGGCCUGUGUCAACAUGCACACGGCAUUGGGGUGGAUCAGUGGUCAGUGUUCAGGAACAGAACACAGAACAGCAGCAGACACUCAGGUGAGUGACAGGGAGCAGUGGUGCACACAAGGCGUGUGACCCAGGGACAACGCGUGGGUGGUCAGUGCAGAGUGCCUGACGUGGAGCAUGCGCCCUCACACAGCCCGAGGCUGCCCAGUUGUCUGGGGCUCUCCCUUCAGUGUUUCUUCAUGCUAUAAUACUGUCACCCUGUGCUCAGUAGGUCACA
Molecule: long non-coding RNA, 858 nt
Filed under: Marmota monax (woodchuck)
Lineage: Eukaryota; Metazoa; Chordata; Mammalia; Rodentia; Sciuridae
Source: RNAcentral